CCAGACUCCUACGGGAGGCAGCAGUGGGGAAUAUUGCGCAAUGGGGGUAACCCUGACGCAGCAACGCCGCGUGCAGGAAGAAGGUCUUCGGAUUGUAAACUGUUGUCGCAAGGGAAGAAGACAGUGACGGUACCUUGUGAGAAAGUCACGGCUAACUACGUGCCAGCAGCCGCGGUAAUACGUAGGUGACAAGCGUUGUCCGGAUUUACUGGGUGUAAAGGGAGCGUAGACGGUUCUGCAAGCCAGAUGUGAAAGCCCGGGGCUCAACCCCGGGACUGCAUUUGGAACUGUAAGGCUAGAGUGUCGGAGAGGCAGGCGGAAUUCCUAGUGUAGCGGUGAAAUGCGUAGAUAUUAGGAGGAACACCAGUGGCGAAGGCGGCCUGCUGGACGAUGACUGACGUUGAGGCUCGAAAGCGUGGGGAGCAAACAGGAUUAGAUACCCCGGUAUA
Molecule: ribosomal RNA, 449 nt
Filed under: uncultured bacterium
Lineage: Bacteria
Description: bacterial SSU rRNA
Rfam family: Bacterial small subunit ribosomal RNA
Source: RNAcentral